UUUGGGGCAAUCCCUCGCAUAGUGUGGUCCAUCACAAAAGAAGCAUUGGACCGGGGUCUUCGAUUUGGGAGGGAAAUCUCUACGUCCCUUGGCCCUUUCUGAAGCCUCCUUGCCCUUAGGCGGGUCUCCCCCGCUCUUUCCCUUGCCGGCCUUGUCCUUGGGUUUAGGUUUCUCCACUUUCCUAAACUCAAUAAGGGACUCGGCGAUGGAUAUGGCAGUGGUCAGGUUCUUGGGCACCACGGCGUUGGAUUUCAAGCCUUGCCCACUGCUGCAACCCGUCCAUGAAGGCAAAGAAAGCUUCUUUAUCAGGGUAGCCAUGGAUUUCGAGAAGUACCUCUGUGAACUCUUUGACGUACUCCCGGAUGGUUCCUUUGUGCUGCAAACGCCUUAGCUUGCCACGAGCUUNNNNN
RNAcentral lists this long non-coding RNA (410 nucleotides) under Nicotiana benthamiana. Its description in RNAcentral is "long non-coding RNA (NBEN_LNC036163)". The record is from RNAcentral. Lineage: Eukaryota; Viridiplantae; Streptophyta; Magnoliopsida; Solanales; Solanaceae.